GGCUGCACAAGCUCAUCACACUGCAAAACCGUGCCUGUGCCUCUCAGCCCUGCCUUCGUCCCUCCUCCCCUUCCCUGUCUCACUGCAGCUCUGAGCAGGCUGCCUGUCAGUCUACACUCCCGCACCCCCUCCUACCUCCUCCAGGUGUGGGUACUUGACUGCAAUCAAAUACUCUCUCCAGUAAAAGGUGGUGGAGAGAUUUCAUUAUGGGCUAGAGCUGUGGUGCUUGGGGACCUGCUUGCACAAUGGGAGCUUUGUGUGGCUGCGUUAUUCUGCUGCCAGAGGAAGAAGCCUGGAGUGCUGGAAGAUGCUCGUGUGUGCUGGGAACUCAUAGCAGCAACAGUCAAGUUUACAUUUCGGAUGAUGAUGACAGCAGUGGCACACCAUGGCAGCCUGCUAAGCACACAGCUUCGAGGUACGUUUGUGUCACAGCAGCCAGGUGCAUUUCACCCCAGUCUGGCACCAAAUCCUGAUGCCACGUGGGUUGGCGGUGCCUUGAGGGGGAAGAGCUGAGCUUGGCGGCACACAGGGCUUUGCACAAGAGCACAGAAGGUCCAAGCUGUGGCUAGGGUGUGCCUGGCGUGGGAGUCGCAGCUGCAUGGGGAGUGCCGUCCCAUGCCAGCCCAGGGACAAGCGCAGCUCUUGGGAAGAUGCUCCAGCCCUUCCUCAGCACCUGGUGGAGAGUUCAUGGGAGCUGCCCGAGGAGAAGAACGCGCACCGGGAACACCGAGAGCCAGGAGGCAAACACCAGGGUUAUCACAGGCACCAUCGUGAGACUCAGGCUUGUGGUCUAACGAAGCUGGGUGAUCUCAGCAGCACCUAAUCACCCGGAGCUGAGGUGAGGUUCUGGAAACGUUUACCAGAGGAGAUGCAGGAUGGUUUCAACCAAAGGGUUGAAAAAAGGGUUGAAAAAAUGGGUGACCGAAAGGCAAACAUCAGAAGGGAUUGAAGGAAAGGUGUUAAGGGGUUAAGAAGGUGUUUAAGGAAAGGUUGGACGUGGUGCUUAGGGACAUGGUUUAGCAGGUGAUAUUGGAGGUAGGGGGAUGGUUGGACCAGAUGAUCUUGGAGGUCUUUUCCAACCUCAAUGACUCUAUGAUUAGAGAUCGGGAGAAAAGGACAUGUCCUACAGAGCUGUAUCAUCCAAGGUCUGAAACCCCAAUAUCAGCCUGAUUCCAAAAUGUCCUUCUCAUUACUGCUAGCUGAACUAUAGAGUUUGGUGAGUGAAUCCUGGAGGGCACCAUGGUGGUUCCCUUGACAGCUAGGCAAGGACACAGGAAGACAUAGCUGAAGGUCAUAGGAUAGAUGGUCGGGUCUCUGGAGUUCACAUUUAGCAUUCUACCCUAUGGUGUUUUUCUGAGAAAGCUGCCUUGAGGGACUUAAAAUUUCCCUGAGUGUGGACAAUAACUUUCGCUGCAUACCAGAGAUGAAGAUACUGAGCUUUGGCUUUAGGUAGAGCAAAACAAGCUAAGACUGUAGGAGCAUUAAUUCAGAUGCUGGUUGGAUGGUUCCCACU
This 1513-nucleotide long non-coding RNA is filed under the name Anas platyrhynchos platyrhynchos (common mallard). RNAcentral describes it as "lncRNA (ENSAPLG00000022261.1)". Lineage: Eukaryota; Metazoa; Chordata; Aves; Anseriformes; Anatidae. The record is from RNAcentral.